UGCUCUGUGGAGGUGUUUGAUCGGUGGAAGGUUAUGAGGGAGAUGACCCAAUUUGGGGCUUGCAGAGCUUCAGACCACAUCAGUUGCAGACAUGAAAACAGAUGAAAUCGGCUUACAGACAGUUUAUGUCUGCAAAAACAAACAGCACCUAAAAUAUCUAAUUUUCAUAUGCUCGUCCUAAAUUAUGAUAACUUUGACCCGUUUACUAAAAAGUGAUAUGUUUUACCAAUUUACUAAAAACAACAAUUUUGACAAUUCACUAAAGUUAUAAUCUCGACCGAUUUAUAAAAUUUAAAGUUAAAGAUUAAAAUAAAAUUGUCUCUGUUCAUCAAUAAUUUGGAAAUUUGAUCUAUUGUUAGCACACCAUAUCCUCAAUAAAUACAAAAAUAGAUAAAAGAUACGGAUGCACCAAUAUAGAUUUAUGAAGUAUAAUUCUCUAUAUUUUAUGGUA
RNAcentral lists this long non-coding RNA (451 nucleotides) under Helianthus annuus (common sunflower). RNAcentral's name for it is "hypothetical non coding rna". The record is from RNAcentral. Lineage: Eukaryota; Viridiplantae; Streptophyta; Magnoliopsida; Asterales; Asteraceae.